AGAGCGCCCGACUGUAGAGGAUACGCAGUUAUCGGGCGGUCCCUGGUUCGAUUCCGGGUGUUCGGAUAUCUUUUUAUUCUUUUUAG
RNAcentral lists this transfer RNA (86 nucleotides) under Sterkiella histriomuscorum. Its description in RNAcentral is "tRNA-Tyr". The record is from RNAcentral. Lineage: Eukaryota; Ciliophora; Spirotrichea; Sporadotrichida; Oxytrichidae.